RNAcentral lists this ribosomal RNA (939 nucleotides) under Demequina sp. BPA-1. Its description in RNAcentral is "bacterial SSU rRNA". It matches the Rfam family "Bacterial small subunit ribosomal RNA", at positions 56 to 1003 of the family's 1533-position model. The record is from RNAcentral. Lineage: Bacteria; Bacillati; Actinomycetota; Actinomycetes; Micrococcales; Demequinaceae.
UGCAAGUCGAACGGUGAAGCGAGAGCUUGCUCUUGUGGAUCAGUGGCGAACGGGUGAGUAACACGUGAGUAACCUGCCCCAGACUCUGGGAUAAGCCUUGGAAACGAGGUCUAAUACCGGAUACGAGACGAGACCGCAUGGUCAUUGUCUGGAAAGAAUUUCGGUCUGGGAUGGACUCGCGGCCUAUCAGCUUGUUGGUGAGGUAAUGGCUCACCAAGGCGACGACGGGUAGCCGGCCUGAGAGGGCGACCGGCCACACUGGAACUGAGACACGGUCCAGACUCCUACGGGAGGCAGCAGUGGGGAAUAUUGCACAAUGGGCGCAAGCCUGAUGCAGCGACGCCGCGUGGGGGAUGAAGGCCUUCGGGUUGUAAACCCCUUUCAGCAGGGAAGAAGCGAAAGUGACGGUACCUGCAGAAGAAGCGCCGGCUAACUACGUGCCAGCAGCCGCGGUAAUACGUAGGGCGCAAGCGUUGUCCGGAAUUAUUGGGCGUAAAGAGCUCGUAGGCGGUCUGUCGCGUCUGCUGUGAAAUCCCGAGGCUCAACCUCGGGCCUGCAGUGGGUACGGGCAGACUAGAGUGUGGUAGGGGAGACUGGAAUUCCUGGUGUAGCGGUGGAAUGCGCAGAUAUCAGGAGGAACACCAAUGGCGAAGGCAGGUCUCUGGGCCACAACUGACGCUGAGGAGCGAAAGCAUGGGGAGCGAACAGGAUUAGAUACCCUGGUAGUCCAUGCCGUAAACGGUGGGCACUAGAUGUGGGGCUCUUUCCAUGAGUUCCGCGUCGCAGCUAACGCAUUAAGUGCCCCGCCUGGGGAGUACGGCCGCAAGGCUAAAACUCAAAGGAAUUGACGGGGGCCCGCACAAGCGGCGGAGCAUGCGGAUUAAUUCGAUGCAACGCGAAGAACCUUACCAAGGCUUGACAUAUACCCUUUACCCCUAG